RNAcentral lists this long non-coding RNA (224 nucleotides) under Mytilus galloprovincialis (Mediterranean mussel). Lineage: Eukaryota; Metazoa; Mollusca; Bivalvia; Mytilida; Mytilidae. The record is from RNAcentral.
CUCUUCACCUUAUCUUUUCGCCUUUGUUAACGCAUUAUUAUUAAUAUUAUUAAAUUUGAUGCGACUGUCGUACAAGUGAGAGGUUUGGCGCUGUAAAACCAGAUUCAAUUCACCCUUUUCUACAUUAUACAGUUUCUGACGAAUUCGAUGGUGUCAAAAGUCCUUAUAAGGGCAAUAUCCAAUGAACAAAUAAUUGACCUCUUCACCUUAUCUUUUCGCCUUUG